UGUGUAUCAAAGCUUCCAGGAUCCCUGACGGAAACCGAAGCAGCAGCGAGCCGACAAAGUGGAGGGUUUGAGAGCGGCGAGGCGGAGGAGGAGGAACAGGAGAACAGUUCCAUAAAAUUGUCAGAAGAAGCUGUAAGACCUCCUGCUACCAGAUUUGCACCUGAAGAGUCCAGAAGCUUUUCCAGCAAUCAGGAAGCAGCGUUAAACUGUGACCCAACAGUCAUUAUCACUGCAGGCCUCGACUGUUGGCGCUUAAACACAUUCAGCCACCGGAAAACUGGAAAAUGUGAAGCAACAGACAGAAAGAACCAACAUCAGCUGUUUACAAAAGGAAGAAAGAACUUUGAGAAGCAGCUGUCCAGUGCUGUGACAAGAUUCCACUGGUCCUCCAUCGGGGAUGACAGCUUCUCCCGUCUCCAACCACCUCCACUGGGUCCAGGGAUCGUCCAGGAGAGAGCCGGGAAUACUGCUACAUAGAAGACAACACAUAGUACAGUAUGAUGAGUGGAGUCACAAUUUAGUAUGAUGUUGUAGUGAUAUUUUGGACGACAUGCUAAAGUAUUACAUUUUUUUUGGUAUUUUUGGACCACAUACUAAAGUCUUACAUUUUUUUUUUUGAUUUUCAAACAGACUAGACUAUUACAUUUUUUUCAAUUUUUGGACGACUUACCAAAGUAUGAUGUUUUUUUGGUAAUUUUGGACCACAUACAAAACUAUGACAUUGUUUUUGAUUUUCAGACGAUAGACUAAACUAUGAGGUUUUUUUUGGGUGGCGUUUUGGUGAGUUUUUGGAGACUAAUAAAUGCAGUGCUUGUAAAAAUAAAUACCAGAAGAACCCCAACCAGCCAGUUAGAAUGUCUGUUGGAUGGAGGUGGAACAUCAUCUGGUUUUCUUCUGCUGGAGGAGACGACCUGCUGACGGAACACAAAUACAACAUCUGAUGAAGUACACAAAUUAAUGUGUCAAAUGGAUUUCUGUACUAUACAAUAAAGAUGAACUCUGAAUUAUUUACCUGUUUGUCGUCUCUUCGUUCUUCUCCUGUUGCUUUUAUUGGGCAGCGACCCUUCGUCACAUUACUGCCACCAGUUGUCCAUCAGUGAAACUGCAUGAGGCUACAGGGAGGAUUGUUUAUCUCUUCACACUCAUGCAACCGUGUGACAACAAACACAACAACCCACAACAGCAAGGUUCUGCACGUUCACUAAAUGGAAUCUAAAACCUUCGUAACGUCAUGUAGCCAAGUGGGUCAUUACAUUCCAGUUGUAAGUAACAAAAAGGUCUCCUCUGCUCUGCGUGAAGACGUGAUGAUUAGAAAAUGAUGCAAAACCAGACCAAAACAAAAUUCAGAAUUACAGGGAGCUACAGCAUCGUCAGGGCAACUGAGCUCCUCAAAAUACGAUACUAAACCAGAGACACAAAACUAAAGAAAAGAGAAAAGAUUAAUCCAAAAUCACUGUAAAGAGACACAAUCUUACUGCAAAACAAAACUAAAGUACCAUUAGGAGAUGUAAAACCACCACAGAGAAAUGCUAAACGAUGACUAAGAGACACGAAAUCACUGCAACAAGACACAAAACAAUUGAAGAGACACAAAAAACCUCUGCAUAGACAAAGGAUCAUUGUAAAGACAAAACAACCAUCAGAGAAAUAAAAGUGCAAAGAAACGUAAAAAACACUGCAGAGACAUGAAACAAUCACAAAGACGUAAAGAUUUGCAAAGAGAAACAUGAUCAAUCCAAAGAGAUGCCAAACCACAAAAAAGACACAAACUGCAGACAGCAGUAAUAAAACUCAGUCUGGAGGUUUAAAAAUGACGUUUAAUUUCUGCUAAGUUCUACUCGUCCACCAUCAGCUGAAAAUCUGAACUCAUGAACGUUGGAUCGUUGGGUUUCCUGUUUCCUACUAGCUAACCAUGCUAACGUUGUGAUGUUUGAUCUGAAAACCAGAGGAGCUUCAGAUGGUUGAAUUCUGGUUCAGUCUGGAAGCUGCUGAAGAUCAAACCCUCAGAUCUGGAUCUUCUGCUGGUCUGUCUGGACGUCUCUCUGCUUCCACUUCAGUUCUUUUAUACAUGAACCAGCUUCUCUCUGACAGAACCUCUAGAUAAC
Long non-coding RNA from Amphiprion ocellaris (clown anemonefish), 2105 nucleotides. RefSeq lists it as uncharacterized. The transcript has 4 exons. Lineage: Eukaryota; Metazoa; Chordata; Actinopteri; Pomacentridae. The record is from RefSeq and is a predicted model, not a curated record.